GUCCACGCUGUAAACGAUGGAUGCUAGCCGUCAGCAAGCAUGCUUGUUGGUGGCGCAGCUAACGCAUUAAGCAUCCCGCCUGGGGAGUACGGCCGCAAUGUUAAAACUCAAAGGAAUUGACGGGGGCCCGCACAAGCGGUGGAGCAUGUGGUUUAAUUCGACGCAACGCGAAGAACCUUACCAACCCUUGACAUGCCCGGUCGGUUUCCAGAGAUGGAUUCCUCCCAGCAAUGGGCCGGAGCACAGGUGCUGCAUGGCUGUCGU
This 264-nucleotide ribosomal RNA is filed under the name uncultured bacterium. Its description in RNAcentral is "partial 16S ribosomal RNA". It matches the Rfam family "Bacterial small subunit ribosomal RNA", at positions 793 to 1055 of the family's 1533-position model. The record is from RNAcentral.